RNAcentral lists this ribosomal RNA (450 nucleotides) under Sarcocystis tenella. RNAcentral's name for it is "SSU rRNA". It matches the Rfam family "Eukaryotic small subunit ribosomal RNA", at positions 475 to 900 of the family's 1831-position model. Lineage: Eukaryota; Apicomplexa; Conoidasida; Eucoccidiorida; Sarcocystidae. The record is from RNAcentral.
AAAUAACAACACUGGAAAUUUUAUUUCUAGUGAUUGGAAUGAUGGGAAUUUAAACCCCUUUCAGAGUAACAAUUGGAGGGCAAGUCUGGUGCCAGCAGCCGCGGUAAUUCCAGCUCCAAUAGCGUAUAUUAAAGUUGUUGCAGUUAAAAAGCUCGUAGUUGGAUGUCUGCUGGAAGCAAUCAGUCCGCCCUAUUUGUAGGGUGUGCACUUGAUGAAUUCUGGCAUUUUUGUCCCAAUGAUGUAACGGAGCGGUGGUAUUCGGUGAAAGCCGAGUAUCCCGUUUUCCGAUUAUUGGGAUACUGUUACUUUGAGAAAAUUAGAGUGUUUGAAGCAGGCUAAUUGCCUUGAAUACUGCAGCAUGGAAUAACAAUAUAGGAUUUCGGUUCUAUUUUGUUGGUUUCUAGGACUGAAAUAAUGAUUAAUAGGGACAGUUGGGGGCAUUCGUAUUUA